Molecule: ribosomal RNA, 486 nt
Filed under: uncultured Cellulomonas sp.
Lineage: Bacteria; Bacillati; Actinomycetota; Actinomycetes; Micrococcales; Cellulomonadaceae
Description: partial 16S ribosomal RNA
Source: RNAcentral
CACGUAGUUAGCCGGCGCUUCUUCUGCAGGUACCGUCACUUGCGCUUCUUCCCUGCUGAAAGCGGUUUACAACCCGAAGGCCGUCAUCCCGCACGCGGCGUCGCUGCAUCAGGCUUGCGCCCAUUGUGCAAUAUUCCCCACUGCUGCCUCCCGUAGGAGUCUGGGCCGUGUCUCAGUCCCAGUGUGGCCGGUCGCCCUCUCAGGCCGGCUACCCGUCGUCGCCUUGGUAGGCCAUUACCCCACCAACAAGCUGAUAGGCCGCGAGCCCAUCCCCCACCGAUAAAUCUUUCCAGACGCUACAGAUGCCCGUGCGUCUCGUAUCCGGUAUUAGACCUCGUUUCCAAGGCUUAUCCCAGAGUGAAGGGUAGGUUGCUCACGUGUUACUCACCCGUUCGCCACUGAUCCGGUCAGCAAGCUGACCUUCACCGUUCGACUUGCAUGUGUUAAGCACGCCGCCAGCGUUCGUCUCGUGCACGGAUCAACUAC